CGCUGGCGGCGUGCCUAAUACAUGCAAGUCGAACGGUCUUUCUAUGGAAGCUUGCUUCCACUGAGAAGAUAGUGGCGAACGGGUGAGUAACACGUGGGUAACCUGCCCAUAAGAGGGGGGAUAACAUCCGGAAACGGGUGCUAAUACCGCAUAGUUUUCUUGAUUGCAUGAUUGAGAAAGGAAAGACGGCCUUUGUGCUGUCGCUUAUGGAUGGACCCGCGGCGUAUUAGUUAGUUGGUGAGGUAACGGCUCACCAAGACGAUGAUACGUAGCCGACCUGAGAGGGUGAUCGGCCACAUUGGGACUGAGACACGGCCCAAACUCCUACGGGAGGCAGCAGUAGGGAAUCUUCCGCAAUGGACGAAAGUCUGACGGAGCAACGCCGCGUGAGCGAAGAAAGGUUUUCGGAUCGUAAAACUCUGUUGUCAGAGAAGAACAAGUUGGAGAGUAACUGCUCCAGCCUUGAUGGUAUCUGACCAGAAAGCCACGGCUAACUACGUGCCAGCCGCCGC
This 512-nucleotide ribosomal RNA is filed under the name uncultured bacterium. RNAcentral's name for it is "bacterial SSU rRNA". It matches the Rfam family "Bacterial small subunit ribosomal RNA", at positions 34 to 518 of the family's 1533-position model. The record is from RNAcentral.